Molecule: ribosomal RNA, 468 nt
Filed under: uncultured bacterium
Lineage: Bacteria
Description: partial 16S ribosomal RNA
Rfam family: Bacterial small subunit ribosomal RNA
Source: RNAcentral
GACGAACGCUGGCGGCGUGCUUAACACAUGCAAGUCGAACGGAAAGGCCCUGCUUUUGUGGGGUGCUCGAGUGGCGAACGGGUGAGUAACACGUGAGUAACCUGCCCUUGACUUUGGGAUAACUUCAGGAAACUGGGGCUAAUACCGGAUAGGAGCUCCUGCUGCAUGGUGGGGGUUGGAAAGUUUCGGCGGUUGGGGAUGGACUCGCGGCUUAUCAGCUUGUUGGUGGGGUAGUGGCUUACCAAGGCUUUGACGGGAAGCCGGCCUGAGAGGGUGAUCGGCCACAUUGGGACUGAGAUACGGCCCAGACUCCUACGGGAGGCAGCAGUGGGGAAUAUUGCACAAUGGGCGGAAGCCUGAUGCAGCAACGCCGCGUGCGGGAUGACGGCCUUCGGGUUGUAAACCGCUUUCGCCUGUGACGAAGCGUGAGUGACGGUAAUGGGUAAAGAAGCACCGGCUAACUACGUG